GGAUGUGAGGGCAAUCUGGUUGCCACAGCUGUCACCCUACUGAUCACCAGGAUUGAUUCAGCUGAUCUGGCUGGCUAGGCGGGUGUCCCCUUCCUCCAUGUGCUGUACUCGGUUGAACAGGACAACCUUCCCCGACAGAAGGAGGACCAUCCUUCUGCCAAGGGUACACAAGUAGUUGUGCCCCCUUGCUGGAACCUCCAAAUAAGCUCUCAAGAGAAUGACAAGAGGCAGCUCAAAGUAAGCAUUACAAUAAAUGUGCAAAGACCUGGAGUU
This 273-nucleotide small nuclear RNA is filed under the name Echinops telfairi (small Madagascar hedgehog). RNAcentral describes it as "7SK RNA (ENSETEG00000024423.1)". It matches the Rfam family "7SK RNA". Rfam says of the family: 7SK was discovered as an abundant small nuclear RNA in the mid-70s but a possible function has only recently been suggested. Two independent studies have found that 7SK RNA binds the CDK9/cyclin T complex (known as elongation factor P-TEFb). P-TEFb activates transcription by phosphorylating the C-terminal domain of RNA polymerase II. Lineage: Eukaryota; Metazoa; Chordata; Mammalia; Afrosoricida; Tenrecidae. The record is from RNAcentral.